RNAcentral lists this long non-coding RNA (493 nucleotides) under Salmo salar (Atlantic salmon). Its description in RNAcentral is "lncRNA (ENSSSAG00000088735.1)". Lineage: Eukaryota; Metazoa; Chordata; Actinopteri; Salmoniformes; Salmonidae. The record is from RNAcentral.
GGGGUAUAGGGAAGGUAGGGGAGAGGAGGGGGUAUAGGGAAGGUACGGGAGAGGAGGGGGGACUUACUCCAUGUCAGGCAGCCUCCAAGUCUACCCUCACCAACUGACCGUGUAAUCUGAUUCAUUAUGAUAUAGGAUCAGGACCCUCCUCUCCAUGUAAUCUGAUUCAAUAUGAUCUAGGAUCAGGUCCCACCUCUCCAUGUAAUCUGAUUCAUUAUGAUCUAGGAUCAGGUCCCCCCUCUCCAUGUAAUCUGAUUCAUUAUGAUAUAGGAUCAGGUCCCCCCUCUCCAUGUAAUCUGAUUCAUUAUGAUCUAGGAUCAGGUCCCCCCUCUCCAUGUAAUCUGAUUCAUUAUGAUCAGGUCCCCCCCUCUCCAUGUAAUCUGAUUCAUUAUGAUAUAGGAUCAGGUCCCCCCUCUCCAUGUAAUCUGAUUCAUUAUGAUCUAGGAUCAGGUCCCCCCUCUCCAUGUAAUCUGAUUCAUUAUGAUCAGGUCCC